This 98-nucleotide non-coding RNA is filed under the name uncultured Desulfobacter sp. RNAcentral describes it as "Pyrrolysine insertion sequence mttB". It matches the Rfam family "Pyrrolysine insertion sequence mttB". The record is from RNAcentral. Lineage: Bacteria; Pseudomonadati; Thermodesulfobacteriota; Desulfobacteria; Desulfobacterales; Desulfobacteraceae.
AGGGCGAUUCAAAAAUAUCCGACGUCCAGACCGGCCACGAAAAGACCCUUACCGGACUGAUACCCGCAUUGGCAGGUGCCAAUAUGAUAUACGGUCCG